UCCGUUUGGGACGUUCUUUAUACCGUUGGAAAGCUCUUUUUGAGCUCUAUGUGAUUAUCUGUAUUUGAAAUGCCAUGAAUUUAUUUUAUGAAUGUGAAAUCAGGGGUUAACCCUAUUUGUGAAAAUCCCGGAUUGUGUGUGACUAGGAUUACCGGCACCUGGUCAGGAGCACCCGGGGAUUUGGAAUCUCUACUAUUGCGGGACAACAGGAAAGGGUAAGGCAUUAGCUGAUCAGCCAUGAGUUUCAGGAGCAGGGCGAAGAAUGUACAUGUUCAUGCCACUUCAGACCAAGCGGGUUAUGGGUCUAAUAGUGUUGACUUUUGUAUUCUGUUUUGCCGCUUAGGUCGGCUAGUAAGAAAGAACUUGUAAUAAGUUUGUAAAUAUUUUUGGGAUCCCAACUAUUUUGAAAAGUUUUAAAUAUAUUACAAGUUUAUUUUCA
This is a long non-coding RNA of Cannabis sativa, 439 nucleotides long. RefSeq lists it as uncharacterized. The transcript has 2 exons. The record is from RefSeq and is a predicted model, not a curated record. NCBI's taxonomy places the organism in Eukaryota, Viridiplantae, Streptophyta, Magnoliopsida, Rosales, Cannabaceae.